This 253-nucleotide ribosomal RNA is filed under the name uncultured bacterium. RNAcentral's name for it is "partial 16S ribosomal RNA". It matches the Rfam family "Bacterial small subunit ribosomal RNA", at positions 524 to 776 of the family's 1533-position model. The record is from RNAcentral.
UACAGAGGUGCCGAGCGUUAGGCGGAAUCACUGGGCUUAAAGCGUGUGUAGGCGGGUGCCUAAGUACCUUGUGAAAUCCCACGGCUCAACCGUGGAACUGCUCGGUAUACUGGGUGCCUUGAGCCAACUAGGGGCGACCGGAACAAACGGUGGAGCGGUGAAAUGCGUAGAUAUCGUUUGGAACGCCGAUGGUGAAAACAGGUCGCUGGGGUUGUGCUGACGCUGAGACACGAAAGCCAGGGGAGCGAACGGG